GGGGCCGUAGCACAGUUGGGAGAGCGCUUGACUGGCAGUCAAGAGGUCACGGGUUCGAAUCCCGUCGGCUCCA
Molecule: transfer RNA, 73 nt
Filed under: Caldifarciminota bacterium RBG_13_43_14
Lineage: Bacteria; Pseudomonadati; Caldifarciminota
Also listed under: 2 other names
Description: tRNA-Ala
Rfam family: tRNA
About the family: Transfer RNA (tRNA) molecules are approximately 80 nucleotides in length. Their secondary structure includes four short double-helical elements and three loops (D, anti-codon, and T loops).
Source: RNAcentral